RNAcentral lists this ribosomal RNA (301 nucleotides) under uncultured bacterium. RNAcentral describes it as "partial 16S ribosomal RNA". It matches the Rfam family "Bacterial small subunit ribosomal RNA", at positions 509 to 809 of the family's 1533-position model. The record is from RNAcentral.
CAGUCGCCGCGGUAAUACGAAGGGUGCAAGCGUUACUCGGAAUUACUGGGCGUAAAGCGUGCGUAGGUGGUGGUUUAAGUCCGUUGUGAAAGCCCUGGGCUCAACCUGGGAAUUGCAGUGGAUACUGGGUCACUAGAGUGUGGUAGAGGAUAGUGGAAUUUCCGGUGUAGCAGUGAAAUGCGUAGAGAUCUGGAGGAAUACCGGUGGCGAAGGCGGCCCCCUGGACAAAGACUGACGCUCAGGUGCGAAAGCGUGGGGAGCAAACAGGAUUAGAUACCCCUGUAGUCCCUGUCUCUUAUAA